UACGUAGGGUGCGAGCGUUGUCCGGAAUUACUGGGCGUAAAGAGCUCGUAGGUGGUUUGUCGCGUUGUCCGUGAAAACUCACAACUCAAUUGUGGGCGUGCGGGCGAUACGGGCAGGCUGGAGUACUGCAGGGGAGACUGGAAUUCCUGGUGUAGCGGUGGAAUGCGCAGAUAUCAGGAGGAACACCGGUGGCGAAGGCGGGUCUCUGGGCAGUAACUGACGCUGAGGAGCGAAAGCAUGGGGAGCGAACAGG
RNAcentral lists this ribosomal RNA (253 nucleotides) under uncultured bacterium. RNAcentral's name for it is "partial 16S ribosomal RNA". It matches the Rfam family "Bacterial small subunit ribosomal RNA", at positions 524 to 776 of the family's 1533-position model. The record is from RNAcentral.